Molecule: ribosomal RNA, 293 nt
Filed under: Megaphragma nowickii
Lineage: Eukaryota; Metazoa; Arthropoda; Insecta; Hymenoptera; Trichogrammatidae
Description: partial large subunit ribosomal RNA
Source: RNAcentral
CUUGCGUGCUGCUCGCGAUGCUCGUCUUGGGACGUUAAUAGCGUUCUUUUGGACGGGCACGCGGUAGCUGCGUAAUUCUGUCCGAUGAAGUCGGCGUGCACUUCUCCCCUAGUAGGACGUCGCGACCCGUUGAGUGUCGGUCUAAGGCCCGCGAGGUUGACUGCCGGUGCGUCAGCGUGUCAAAGCGUUGGCGCCGCCGGUAGACCCGCGGUCGCCCGACCGACUGCUCGGCGGUAUAAAUUGUUUGAAAGUUCAAUGGUAUCGAGCCGCAUGAUUUUGAAUGCGUUCUUUUA